Dromaius novaehollandiae (emu) is the source of this 6822-nucleotide long non-coding RNA. RefSeq lists it as uncharacterized. NCBI's taxonomy places the organism in Eukaryota, Metazoa, Chordata, Aves, Casuariiformes, Dromaiidae. The record is from RefSeq and is a predicted model, not a curated record. The transcript is spliced from 5 exons.
CGCAUGCGCACAGGGCCCCGCGGAGGGGCCGCGCCUCAGCGCGGGCGGGAAAGCGGCGGCGCCCGCGGCCCGGUCGCGGCCUCCCUGGGGCCGGUGUGGCCGCAGCCCGGGGCAGGCCCUUGCCCGCGCUCCUGGGGGAGGCCUGCCCUGUCCCCCGGCCCCCACCUUCGCCCGCCGCCGCCCCGCAGGUGCCAGGCCCCGGGCGCGCGUUGGCGAUGCUCGUCUCCUUGCCUUUGCCCAGAGCAGUGCGCGGUCGGCCGCAGCUCGCGCAAGCGCCAUUAUGCCUGACUCCUGUCUGCUUGACAGGGGCCAGAGCUGCGCCAGCGCGGGUGCACGCAGCUCGAGGUGCCGCUUAGGUGGUCUCGCCUGGCUUCGUGGCGGGCGAGCCGUUGCGCCGGCGGGCGGUUACUGCUGCGCUGGGCAGAGUCGCCUGUGCUCAGCCGGGCUGCCUUGCGGGGCCGCGGCCCCUUCUGCGCCGAGGACAUCCAGGAGCGGGAAGGUCUGCGUUCUUCUUGGCUUCCUGUUCUCACUCUAAAAAUCCUACUGUAGUAAUUGCAAACCUGGGUGACUGAGUCUCCCUUUACGCGGAUAGCUUUGCGUAUGGUGUGUGAAGCCCAUUUUGACAAGAUGAGGGCUGGUCCUUGCAAACCUGAGCAGCAGCUCUCUUGCGUAGCAGGGAUUCCCCGUUAGGAACUCCUCUGGGAACCUCCCUAAAAGCUGACUCUCGAUCCGGGUAAUACAAGCUCUAGUGGCGUUGCAUCAUGGUGUUGCGUAGACGGGACAAAACACCAAUAAGGGUUUCAUCCUUCCAAAGCUGAGUAUUGCAGUGACACAGUGACUGGCCAAUUUAUGCAGUCGGAAGAAGUACACAAACACGGCAGCAAGUUUGAUGUGUCAUAGGUGUUUACCUGCAGAGAGAUGAUUCAGAGGAGUGGAAUAUAUUGAUUUGUCCCCACGCUGAUGUUCCAGUUCAGCACUGGUCUGGGUCCAACCAGCUCAGAGCGGGUGCAGCCAGUUUUCCUUAUGUGGAGAAUGCUGAACUGGAGGACAACAGUGGGCGCUGAUUGGAAAUGAGGAAUUCAGGCAUCCAGCCAAGUGAAAGGGGGAGUUUUGAAAGUACUGGUACGUGAAAUCACAGUUUGCACCCAUUGCCUCUCAUCCUCCCGCCAUGCACUGCUGGAAGGAGCCUGGCUCCAUCUUCCCGACACCCUCCUUGCAGGUCCCAGCUGGCUGUGACAAAGCCCCCCCGAGCUGUCACUUCUCCAGGCUGAACAAGCCCAGCUCCCUCAGCCCCCUGGGCAUCUCGGUGACCCUCCGAUGACUUGCUCCACUUUAACGAUGUCUUUCCUAUACUGGGGGGAAGCAGGGGGCAAAACUGGAUGCAGUAGCUGGAUGGAGUCUAACAAGUGCCAAGUAGAGUGGGAAAAUCACCGCCCCCAGCUUACAGGCUGUGCCGCUGCGCAGGAGGAGCAGGGCUCUGCCCACAGAGCCCAGGACGCUGUUGCCUUUGCGGCCGCUGGCGUGCACUCAGCUGUGUCCACCGGGACCCCCGGGGCCUUUUCUGCAGGGGGGCUCUUCCUCCCUGGGGCAGGGUUUGCGUUGGCUCUUGGUGACUCUCAUGGUCCCCGUUGGCCCAUUCCUCCAGCCAGCCUCGGUCCCGUGGGGUGGCAGCGCUGCCCUCACACACAUCGCAACGGACCCCACCGGCUGUCACCCGCAGACUUCCUGAGCACAGGCGCUGGCCAGGCUGCAGCCAGGCACCUCUGACCCUCCUGGCCUUUGGUUUCCCUGUAGAGCCCUGUGCUCUCAAGAAAUGCCCAGCAGAAACAGGAGCCGGGAGGACUGAGCUCUUCUUACAGAGUUAGCGAUACCAUUGGUACCACGCACAGCCGUGGCUGCUGCCAGGGGACGUAAAGAUCGCUUGUAACGUAUCGCUCAGCAGCUCCAAGCCCCACUGCACAGCCGAAGUGGCUUUGCCUUGGCAUGCGAGUAAAGCAGAGGUGAGCUCUGGGUCUGAAACCUCUCUGGCCUUGGAACGUCCUGAACAAGAUCUCGGCUUCCCGGCCCGGCUUCCCCGUGUGCCUGCUCUGGGACGGCACUGGCAAACCCUUCUCUCUCCUCACCGUCUCACCAGGGUUGGGGAAACUUGAGGCUGAGUUACAAGACAAAGAACAAAAGUCCCAGGGGAACCUCGCCAGCAUAGUCAUCUCCACACAUGCAAAGGUCCCUUCUGCUUUUUUUUUUCCCCUUUGAAAUUUCAAACUCCAGUUUGUGGACAAAGUCCUGCCUAUCUGAGAAUAUAGAUCUCCGACCACUGACCAAACUCCAUUCCAAGCACAUCUCGAGGUCUGCUUUUCCCCUUGCCCACGGAUCCCUCCACUCAGUCCCCGGAUCUGCUGGGAUCACACCGAAACUUUUGCACCAGAACAGAGCUCUCAUGCUUGCGCAAAAUGGAUUUGCACACUUCAAUUUAGCAGCUUCCUUUCUAAACGUGGAAUGGAGAAGGAUCGUCCGUAAUAAUCAGUGCUGAAGUUCCCGUGGGUCUGGUUGGAAUAGAUGCUGCUUGGAGACUGCUGAGUCUGUGAGGUGCUGCGUGCGUUGGCUGGGACGCCGUAUAGGAUGGUGUGAUGGCUAAGCCAGAAGGGCUGGUGGUGCCUGAGCAGACACCGGACACGUUGCCGCUGGAGAGCUCCCUGACGUGCGCCAGGAUUCAGGGCUCCCCACGGCACAGGGAGCUGGGGGUGACGGCAGCUGAACACCAACCUCAGGCUGUUUCUCACCUGUGCUGAAGUUCUCAAAAAGUGGCCAAACUGACCGAAUCAGUCCAGGUCCCCCAGUCCAUAAAAUCCCUCUAUUGAGGAUCAAGGCGAUUUUUGGACAUGUGGAAUAGACACACUUCAAAGGAGGUAGAAGAUUCUUCUUGAAAUCGUCUCCAAAAACAACACAUGCGUUUCAGCUGAAGCUGGAAAGGCUGUUGGAGCUGGAUGUAAUCCAUGGAGCCUAAUAAAGAGCUGCUAUGCAAAAGGGCUAGGGAAAGAACUGCAAACACGGGGACACACAGACCAUUUCAGCAUAUACUGCUUCAGCGAUAACACUGUGCUCGCCUUUCAUCCCCGGAUCAGAAAGGGGUUUAUUAUGCUGACGAACAAAGGCUCUAAACACUUGAGGAAGUAAUUAUUAUUACUCUUGGGAGCUGCUGUUUUGCAAGGACAGUAGAAGCAAAGAAAGUCUGAGCUGUUCCCAGAAUGGCAGCUGCACUCAGAAAUGCCAGUGCCUUUGCCUGUCUGCUCUGUAUUUGCAGUCACUCUGACUACACUGCAGCCUCCCAAACAGUAUGUGCGUUCUCAUACCCACAAGUGUGCACUUGUAACUGAAAAUCUGGCUGAUGUGUUUUUACACAAAAAUCAUGUGAUGAGCCCAAAAGCAAACCAGGAAGAGGAGCCAUUAGCUCCAUCUUGUUCCAUUGCACCACAUUGGGCAACUUGGCCCAAGUCACAGCUUCCUCCAAGUUACAGAUUCCACUCGCUCCCCCCAAAUCCAUAUAACUAGUAAGCAUUUCCUUAAAUCCAAAACCCAGCUGAACAGAAACCCAAAUGCUUUCCAGCAAAACAUUCUCCUGCCUAUUUGAGAGAAAUUCAAGAAAAGCUCUGGAGCGGCUUUGCCAUGUGAUUUUCCAAAUUCACUGUCUGCACUGGCAGAUUGAAUCCAGCAAUUUAAACCCCAAGCUGCAGGAAAGCAGAAGUCCCAGGGAAGCAGAUGCACUAGUGAGAAAGUUUGCUGCCAUAUUUUCCACUCAGCAAAGAGCAAUGAGUACUUAUGGCCCUCCUUGCCUAGCCAACUCACACAUUUCAUAUGGCAGGGAUCUCGGCAGCCCGUCUGGAUCUAUAGAGAACUUGUUUAGCAGAUAAAUACAAUCCCUUUGGAACUUAAGUAAUCCUACAAUUUCCCAGGAAAAAGAUCCCUACUCAGUUCACAGUGUGGCAGACAAAUGAAUGUCUCUGCUUACCCCUGCUAGGUGUUUGCAGUGCGUUUAGGUUUCAUUUACUUUAUGCCUGAUGUUCAUUGCACACACAUGAAGCAGUGCCUGAAUCGUUCCAGGUGGUGGGGCAAUAGGCAGAGGAGAACAGCCAAAAUCAACAAAGAUUACAAAGCAAGUUUUACUUUUUUGUAUGUAUUUUAUCUUUCUGCAAAGGUGGAUUUCAUCAGCAUGCCAUGCCUGCUGGAAGUGACCCCGAGUCGCGCCUGGCGCUCUUGGGAUCAGCCCUCGCUAACUCUGGGGGAGGGCUGAUGAAGUUAAGGCAAGAGACUGUGCAAAACUGCUGCGGGUGCGAAGGGAGAGCUGGAGCAGCAUGAGGGCAGCAGAGGGACAGGCUGCUUUAGGGCUCCUCAAGGAGCAUCUUGCUAGAGCAGAUGGACCCGUUUGGGAAGAGGGACGGCACGGGGCCCCUUUAGCCUGUCCGAAUAGCCUGUCUUGUUCCUAAUGUCCCAGAUCUGAGCAAAGCAACUGUCAGUGGUGAAAGCAGAAAGCAAAAGUCACCAAGAGCUCUCAUCUCAGCAGCUUCAUGCUAAGCGCUGACAUCUGCAGCCAACGCCCGUCACAGCACUCACCUAUGUGACACUCCCGUCCCAUUUACUGCCACAGAAAUAAAAAGUGGGGAGGCAGCAAGGUAUCGAGCUGCUUGGGCUUGCUGCAUGCUCAAUCCUGCUGUGUGGGGCCGGCGAAGGAUUGGGGUCACACGCCUCCGCAAUCCCAUGAGCCACAUGGGCCAGGACACUGUAGCUGCCAGAUAACAAACAGCACUGCAAACCACCAAUUCCCUUUUGAGCAUUUCUCCUAAGUUUCCAAGACAGAAUAACAUUAUUAUUUACCCCUUAAUGUUCCCGCAGGGCCCAGUGCCAUUGGCCUCUUCUAUCAUAAAGAAAUUAAAAUAUAUUAUGACCAUAAACUACAUCAUUUGAGGAAAUGAACCAUUUCUAGUAAAUGUAUCAUGGCAUGCCAAAGCCAUGAACUUUUCUAAAUCAAUUGUCAGCUGAUAAAGAAGGCAGCUAUUACCUAGGAGCAGCUCCCAGCACAUGGCUCCCCAAAGCCACUUCCAGCUCCACGUGCCAGCACAGAGGGCUCAUCCCGAGGUGGCCAGAGGCUCAGAGAAGCCCUGAAGGCCCAGAAUAGACCUUUUUCUCUGCCCCGGAGUCAAGCGGAGACCAUCAGAAACAGUUCAUGGAAGACCUUUGCGAGGUAUAGCAGUCCCACCGCUACCAUGAGGUUUCAAGUGGUUGUUGGCGCAGAGGGCCAACGGGGCUGAGUCUAAAGCAGAUGUCGGGGAAGACCUGUGCUGGAGGGGAGAUGGUAGACGGACACCAAAGAAACCUUUCUAAUAGUUCUGUGAAACCAAUAAUGUUUGGGUCACACAUGCUUUUCUCUCAGUUUUUUUUUAGCUUGAGUUUUGAGGGCCAUGUAAGACCACUGCAGACCUCUUGGGCUGCAGAGCAGGCAGGGAGCAGCGCAGGACCGAAGCUACCUGGUGAGUUAACAGGGCCUGACCCUGUGUCUGGCCACCCUGUGGCACCUCUGCUGAGGCCGCACGUGUGGGGGACAUCAGCGCCAAGCAAAGUCACCAGACACCAGCAGCUGGACUGAGAACGACCGAUUCACUUCCCCAGAGGCUCGGGCAGUUUCCAGGGGACAUCCAUGCGGUGCCAGCGCAGGGCCACCAUCUCUUCCCCACCAAAGGAGUCACGCCACCCUCUCCCCGUGCUCACGUAUGUGUCUCAAGAGCCCCAGAGCUGAGUUCAGGGAGAUCAGUCAGUGCCACCCACGUAUCAAGCAUGUUUGCUCAGCAGCCGUGGGGCAAAACCAAAACCAAAGACUCCAGGGUCUCUUUCAAGUGCCCUUGGAGGCUAUCAGCAGUUCAUAUGUGGGAACUGAGCACAUUUCCAUGGACAGUAAAAGAGAGAGAUGCUGAAUUUGGACAGUGGUGCUGAUUUGGCCUGAGGCAGUGGGAAUCUCUCAGGAGCAGAGAGGCCUUGAUGCCCAUCCUAAGGGAUGGACAUGAAUGGUUCCUGGUGGCUUCCUCAGAGCCACCAAGGCUGGUGUCACCUGCAAACAGCUGGGAAAACAGGAGGAGGAGGUGGGAGAGAAGGGAAACAUCAGCCUCAGGUUUCCUCUCCUGGAGGAGAUGUUGUGACACCUGACUACGCAUCCAAGAAAGAGACACUAGCCUGAACAGCUGCCUGACCAUGGAGAGCCUCUUACUGGCCCGCUACCCGAGGAGCAAUCCCAAGCCCUUGCCAAAAGCUCUCGCCAAGCUCCCCUUCCCUCUCCGGGGGCUUUGGAGCAGCCCUGCCGGGGCACCCACCGCGGGAGCCCGCAGGGUUACCGACGCCCUAUCGUCCACGCGAGCUCUGCAGCGCUGCCUGCGCACCGGCUCUUUCCCCGCCGGCUGAGUGACAGCAGCGGGAGCGCGCGGUACCUGGCGUUUCCUGGAGCAGGUCAUAGCGGCUGCCAUUCAUCUUCCAGGGGCGCUCGGCUCCGCGGGCAGAGCUAGAGGAGUGGGGCCCUCGGACGGGCACCGCCACGCAGCGAGCCCCCGGCGGGCCGCGAGCCGCGAGCCAUGCCCCCGGCGAGCGCCGAGGAGCUGCCUGGAGUGCGGCUGCAGGGAUCAGCUAAUCCCUUAAUGCUGGUCACAAUGAGAUUUGAUUGGGAGCAGGAGUUUGUGCCGCAGAGCUACAGGUUUUAAAGGGUCUGGCCAUGGCCCGGAUGGGAAUUAUAAGGUGGCUCCGGGUCUGCGCGCUGGGGUCGGUGGCUGUGCUUUCUGGGCCCCC